UCGUCGCGGGGGUUCCUCCGAGAUCGGCGCGCAUGGUGGGCGCGGCGAUGUUGGUGACCAUGGCGUCAAGCAGGUCCAUGACCUCCGCGGCGAG
Molecule: transfer RNA, 94 nt
Filed under: Planotetraspora mira
Lineage: Bacteria; Bacillati; Actinomycetota; Actinomycetes; Streptosporangiales; Streptosporangiaceae
Also listed under: 1 other name
Description: tRNA-Thr
Source: RNAcentral